Long non-coding RNA from Alligator mississippiensis (American alligator), 1267 nucleotides. RefSeq lists it as uncharacterized. The transcript is spliced from 3 exons. Lineage: Eukaryota; Metazoa; Chordata; Crocodylia; Alligatoridae. The record is from RefSeq and is a predicted model, not a curated record.
UUAGCAGCUGUUUCAGCAGUCAGAGCUACUCCAGGUCAACAGCACUACAAGGAGCCCAGGAAGUGCUUUGGUCAUGUAAGGCAAGAGGAAGCCAUGUGUCUGAGCGCACAGCAUGCUGGACCGCCUUGCAGAAGAGGUGGGCUUUAUUCUGCUGGCUGACUUUGAGCAUCUUCCCCUUGGUUGAAGUGAAGGGGAAUACUGACCUCCUGUGUAAACUGCUUCGAGAUCCAUUGAUGAAAAGUGCUGCAUAAAAAAUAUUAAACUUUACAUAUGACGAGUACAGGGACAACUUGGCAUGUAAGUGUGAACCAGCUGCAGUCAGCUGUUUCACCAUGCAAUCUGUGCAGGUACUUCCAGACCACAGCCAAGUCCUGAUGAAGAAUAGGGGACUCCAUCGGGGAGUGCACAAGGCCUAUGGUUUUUGCUGGCGUGGAACCCUUUGCAUAACUGUGGACCACAUCUUUUAACCUCUCCUUAUCAUUUGGAUUAGCAGAAGAAGGCCUCAUUUCUGUUUGCGAACAAGCUGCUUCUACCAAAUCAAUAAUAAGUCUUUGUGUCAAUCCAGGAUAACAAGGUAAUAAAUAUAUUAGACAUACAGAUGUUAAAUCAGAAAAAUAUGGAUUACAGAGAUGGAUUCGCUGACCAUGGUGUGGAGUUGGGGACUAACAGGUGCCAUUCAGAACAGCACUAUAAUCCGCUUUGUUUUGCAGCUAACUAUUAUAAUGUUUUUUUCACUGCUGUGAUUUUGAGACAAUUUCUUUUAUUGGACCCACUAUAUAGUUGGGAGAGAUGUUAGACAAGCGCUCAGGUACAAAGUGUCCUUCCUGAAGACCUCAGUAGGUAUAACUGUGUGCAUAACUUGUGUGUUUCAGUUUUAUGAAUUUAAACUGCAGUCCCUUAAAACCUGCAGUCUUCAUGUAUAUAAUAUAGCGGGUUUUGUGUUCCAAGUUUCUUAUAAUAAUAUGCGGUCCUAUAGGACCAGUUGUGAGGGGAAGGGAGCAUGUUUACUGCCAUUAAAUUUUCAUUUGAAAGAAAGUUUUAUAAAAAGAGAAACAGCAAACAAAAAGGGAAAUGUUAAAUGGCCAGGGCAGGAAUGGGGACACAUAGCUAGGGAAGAAAUGCUAAGGGAGGUGAGGAGAACAUAUGGAAACCACGUGUUCAGCACACCUGUCAGUCUGGCCCUCUGGCACUUUCUUCUGAGCUAGAAAAAACAUUACAAGGCAGUGUCAGGAGCUUGAAAGGAGGGGAAGAAGGGGUGGACCUUAGG